UACGGGGGUUGCAAGCGUUGUUCGGAAUUACUGGGCGUAAAGAGAGCGCAGGCGGCCAGGUCAGUCUGAAGUGAAAGCCCGGGGCUCAACCUCGGAAGUGCUUUGGAUACUGCCUGGCUUGAGUAUGUGAGAGGAAAGCGGAAUUCCAGGUGUAGCGGUGAAAUGCGUAGAUAUCUGGAGGAACACCAGUGGCGAAAGCGGCUUUCUGGCACAUUACUGACGCUGAGGCUCGAAAGCGUGGGGAG
RNAcentral lists this ribosomal RNA (245 nucleotides) under uncultured Candidatus Hydrogenedens sp. Its description in RNAcentral is "partial 16S ribosomal RNA". It matches the Rfam family "Bacterial small subunit ribosomal RNA", at positions 524 to 768 of the family's 1533-position model. The record is from RNAcentral. Lineage: Bacteria; Pseudomonadati; Candidatus Hydrogenedentota; Candidatus Hydrogenedentia; Candidatus Hydrogenedentales; Candidatus Hydrogenedentaceae.